UGUGUGUUAGUGGAAGCGUCUGGAAAGGCGCGCGAUACAGGGUGACAGCCCCGUACACAAAAAUGCACAUGCUGUGAGCUCGAUGAGUAGGGCGGGACACGUGGUAUCCUGUCUGAAUAUGGGGGGACCAUCCUCCAAGGCUAAAUACUCCUGACUGACCGAUAGUGAACCAGUACCGUGAGGGAAAGGCGAAAAGAACCCCGGCGAGGGGAGUGAAAAAGAACCUGAAACCGUGUACGUACAAGCAGUGGGAGCACGCUUAGGCGUGUGACUGCGUACCUUUUGUAUAAUGGGUCAGCGACUUAUAUUCUGUAGCAAGGUUAACCGAAUAGGGGAGCCGAAGGGAAACCGAGUCUUAACUGGGCGUUAAGUUGCAGGGUAUAGACCCGAAACCCGGUGAUCUAGCCAUGGGCAGGUUGAAGGUUGGGUAACACUAACUGGAGGACCGAACCGACUAAUGUUGAAAAAUUAGCGGAUGACUUGUGGCUGGGGGUGAAAGGCCAAUCAAACCGGGAGAUAGCUGGUUCUCCCCGAAAGCUAUUUAGGUAGCGCCUCGUGAAUUCAUCUCCGGGGGUAGAGCACUGUUUCGGCAAGGGGGUCAUCCCGACUUACCAACCCGAUGCAAACUGCGAAU
Molecule: ribosomal RNA, 634 nt
Filed under: Escherichia coli
Lineage: Bacteria; Pseudomonadati; Pseudomonadota; Gammaproteobacteria; Enterobacterales; Enterobacteriaceae
Description: partial 23S ribosomal RNA
Rfam family: Bacterial large subunit ribosomal RNA
Source: RNAcentral